AAAUGUCAGUCUCCAAAUUUCUAAUGAUGUUCCUCGCUUUUUUAGAUAAUCCAUAGAAAUUAGUUAAAUAAAAACAUAACUGAUUACAUUAAUGGAUCCUCAGAAUAGUUAGAAUAUCAUAAUUACUAAGAUCACAUUCUUUAAGUGCUUAAGAACAAUAAAUACCAUGCAUUCAAAGGUGGAUAACAGUAACCUCUUACCAUUAACUUAGAACUGUUUGCAAUUUUGGCAUAAAGUUAUAUGGAACUCAUAAUAACCAUGCAAGUAAGGCUUUCCUAUCUCAGGCUACUCUUCCAAAACAAAUCCCACCACAAAGAAAACAUUUGUAAGAUUAGACUCUCACAAAGGCCCACA
This 354-nucleotide long non-coding RNA is filed under the name Bos taurus (domestic cattle). RNAcentral's name for it is "long non-coding RNA NONBTAT016807". Lineage: Eukaryota; Metazoa; Chordata; Mammalia; Artiodactyla; Bovidae. The record is from RNAcentral.